This 242-nucleotide ribosomal RNA is filed under the name uncultured bacterium. RNAcentral describes it as "partial 16S ribosomal RNA". It matches the Rfam family "Bacterial small subunit ribosomal RNA", at positions 524 to 764 of the family's 1533-position model. The record is from RNAcentral.
UACGUAGGGGGCGAGCGUUAUCCAGAUUUACUGGGCGUAAAGGGCGCGUAGGCGGCCGAUCAAGUCAGAUGUGAAAGUCCUGGGCUUAACCUGGGGACUGCAUUUGAUACUGAUUGGCUUGAAUGCAGGAGAGGAUAGCGGAAUUCCCAGUGUAGAGGUGAAAUUCGUAGAUAUUGGGAAGAACACCGGUGGCGAAGGCGGCUAUCUGGACUGGUGAUUGACGCUGAGGCGCGAAAGCGUGG